GAUCUGACCCUUGACUUACCAUAUUUUAUCCCAUCCCUACCACCUUUUUAAUAGGGCUUUAAGCCGAAGACAUUUUUAUCUUUUCAGGUUUAAUCCUGUACAUAUUUAUUAAAACUAUAUUACAUAUUUGGCAAAAAAAAACAAUUCAUUCCAUUGUAAUUUGAAUCAAAAUCUAACAAUUUACAGCGAAUUAUAAUAUAAAAAUUUCAGAAAAAAAAAACAAAGAAUUGCCAAUAAAAAUCAAUUUUCGAAAGUAAUCUUUUCUUUUUGUACUUUUAGGGCUUAACGGCGGGCACCCAGGGUGUAGAACCUUGACGGCAGCUUGUGACUAAGGCUUUUUCCCAAAACAUGAGGACGAACAAAGGAAUGUAGGUCGAUACCACAUUACAACGACGAUCUAAACAAUGCCUGGUAACCUAACCUUGAAUUGAGCUCAGUUCAAUGUCGCGUACCUGCAUACCAACACAAAGAAAAACCGCGGAAUUUAAUUAUGUAGCUUAGUCGUCCGUCUGUCUGUCCGGAGUUAAAUAAGUUGCAGUGUCAAUUGGGAAUGAUACCAAGCCACGCUGGAGCAGCAAUGGCGUAAACUCUGCGCCUCCCUCGAUGGAUUGGAUGGGCGAUGGUGUGGCUUGUAGGCUCCAAUUCUUCAUGAAUUUUUAGGUUUAAGAUUUAUAUUCAUUGCUUUAGAAUUUUAGUCAAUUGUUUUGGUUUUUUUUUCAAUAUUGUUACAUUGUUUUCAAACUUUGUUUAAUUUUAAAAAAAGUUCAAUUUUCUUUUAAUUUUCAAUUUUUAUGAAAACUAUUUGUUUUGUUAUAAAUUUCCUUUCAAUUUUUAGCCUUUUUUUUCGUUUAAUGUUGCUUAAUUAUUUAAAGGCUUCAUAUUUUCUUUAAAAUAGAUUUUAUUUUGUGUUGUUUGUGUAUGUGUUUCAACAAAUAAACCAGAUGAAUUCACUUCUCAAAAACUUUGGUUGUUUUUUUUUCUUCGACGGUUACAGGGAGCCACGCAUCCAAUCUUCUUCGCAGGCAAAAUCAAAAAGGAAAGAUUUUUCUUACAAUUUUUGCCAGGAAAUUCUGGCUGCCAUUUUCCUCGCUUAAUUUUUCCAUUUUCUUUUUACAUUAUUCCCUAAUAUUGACAUUUAAGUAAUUGGAAUAAUCAGCUGUUUUUUAGUAAUUGUUCUUCUUCUUCUUCUAGCUAUCAAUUAUUUUCAGGGUUACCCCUUUUAAAGGCGCACACCACAAAGCCAACUAUCCUGCUGAUAUCCUUAUCGAAGGAUAGGGGGAAAAAAAGUGCGACCUUUGGUUUAAAAAAAUGCAAAAAAAAAAAAAAUCAAUGGUUUGAUAGGGUAUUAAAAAAAAUCGGUGUUUGGC
Musca domestica (house fly) is the source of this 1367-nucleotide long non-coding RNA. RefSeq lists it as uncharacterized. The transcript is spliced from 3 exons. The record is from RefSeq and is a predicted model, not a curated record. Lineage: Eukaryota; Metazoa; Arthropoda; Insecta; Diptera; Muscidae.